This 162-nucleotide ribosomal RNA is filed under the name Swartzia anomala. Its description in RNAcentral is "5.8S ribosomal RNA". It matches the Rfam family "5.8S ribosomal RNA". From Rfam's summary of the family: 5.8S ribosomal RNA (5.8S rRNA) is a component of the large subunit of the eukaryotic ribosome. It is transcribed by RNA polymerase I as part of the 45S precursor that also contains 18S and 28S rRNA. RNAcentral also lists the same sequence under 2 other names. Lineage: Eukaryota; Viridiplantae; Streptophyta; Magnoliopsida; Fabales; Fabaceae. The record is from RNAcentral.
AAACGACUCUCGGCAACGGAUAUCUCGGCUCUUGCAUCGAUGAAGAACGUAGCGAAAUGCGAUACUUGGUGUGAAUUGCAGAAUCCCGUGAACCAUCGAGUCUUUGAACGCAAGUUGCGCCUGAAGCCAUUAGGCCAAGGGCACGCCUGCCUGGGUGUCGCA